CAGAGAGGCCAUGCAGAGACGAAGGCAGAGAUGGGGUGAUGUGACCACAGCCCAGAAUUGUCAGUGGGAAGGGCAGGAAGGUUCCUAGCCAGGUGUCAGUGGUGGCGCUGGCCAGCCUGGUCACAUGUGCCCUCCUGGGGAUGCCUGCUGGGCCUGGCUGCCACAGGGAUGGAUGUGGCCUGCAAGCAGCAAGAGGUGCAAAGGUCUUGCCACUUGCCCUGAACACGUGACUCCCUACCAUGGCCACGGGGUGUGAGCUGGAGAACCAGACGCCCACUCCCAGAGGUGCCGCAUCCCUCUGUGCCCCAGGAUCUGGGACAGGUCACUCGCACCCCAAACUCCUGGCAGCCCUGCAGUGGGAAAUCUCUCAUGGCACCCGUGUCCAGAGUGUCACAGCGCUGCAUUCAUCUCCCUCAGUCAUCUAAAAUCAGAUGUACAGGGUGGUCUUUGUCAUAUUCACCUAUUUCUGCCUCAGUUUUUUUGACAGUGCCCUUCGCAGAAGAGCGCUCCAAACCAGAGCGCCCAGAGCCCGGGUGCUGACACAGGAGCGUCUGAGCUCACUGAGACUUCUGCCUUCAGCCCAAGAUCAG
Molecule: long non-coding RNA, 590 nt
Organism: Eptesicus fuscus (big brown bat)
Lineage: Eukaryota; Metazoa; Chordata; Mammalia; Chiroptera; Vespertilionidae
Exons: 4
Source: RefSeq, a predicted model, not a curated record